This 695-nucleotide ribosomal RNA is filed under the name Salmonella enterica. RNAcentral describes it as "partial 23S ribosomal RNA". It matches the Rfam family "Bacterial large subunit ribosomal RNA", at positions 2248 to 2925 of the family's 2925-position model. The record is from RNAcentral. Lineage: Bacteria; Pseudomonadati; Pseudomonadota; Gammaproteobacteria; Enterobacterales; Enterobacteriaceae.
CGGACAGUGUCUGGUGGGUAGUUUGACUGGGGCGGUCUCCUCCUAAAGAGUAACGGAGGAGCACGAAGGUUGGCUAAUCCUGGUCGGACAUCAGGAGGUUAGUGCAAUGGCAUAAGCCAGCUUGACUGCGAGCGUGACGGCGCGAGCAGGUGCGAAAGCAGGUCAUAGUGAUCCGGUGGUUCUGAAUGGAAGGGCCAUCGCUCAACGGAUAAAAGGUACUCCGGGGAUAACAGGCUGAUACCGCCCAAGAGUUCAUAUCGACGGCGGUGUUUGGCACCUCGAUGUCGGCUCAUCACAUCCUGGGGCUGAAGUAGGUCCCAAGGGUAUGGCUGUUCGCCAUUUAAAGUGGUACGCGAGCUGGGUUUAGAACGUCGUGAGACAGUUCGGUCCCUAUCUGCCAUGGGCGCUGGAGAACUGAGGGGGGCUGCUCCUAGUACGAGAGGACCGGAGUGGACGCAUCACUGGUGUUCGGGUUGUCAUGCCAAUGGCACUGCCCGGUAGCUAAAUGCGGAAGAGAUAAGUGCUGAAAGCAUCUAAGCACGAAACUUGCCCCGAGAUGAGUUCUCCCUGAGACUUAGAGUCUCCUGAAGGAACGUUGAAGACGACGACGUUGAUAGGCCGGGUGUGUAAGCGCAGCGAUGCGUUGAGCUAACCGGUACUAAUGAACCGUGAGGCUUAACCUUACAACGCCGAAG